RNAcentral lists this transfer-messenger RNA (367 nucleotides) under Nocardioides silvaticus. RNAcentral describes it as "Standard tmRNA". It matches the Rfam family "transfer-messenger RNA". Rfam says of the family: Bacterial tmRNA, also known as 10Sa RNA or SsrA, is named for its dual tRNA and mRNA-like properties. Lineage: Bacteria; Bacillati; Actinomycetota; Actinomycetes; Propionibacteriales; Nocardioidaceae. The record is from Rfam by way of RNAcentral.
GGGGCUGAUCGGUUUCGACUUGGGACGUUAGUUCCAGGGGAAGCGGGUCGAGGAGCCAGCGUCAUCUCGUAAACGAUCGCUGGAAACACAUAACUGCCGACAACAAGCAGUCCUUCGCUCUCGCCGCCUGAGCGGUGACCGAAGCGUCAGACAGGGCAUCCGUCUCCGUCCCUGAUCCUGGCGUCGACUAGGAGACUUGCUGAUCGACUCCGUCAGGAGGGUCGAUCGGGACUUUCAUCCUGGCUAGGCCUGUCGGCGACGUGUCAGUGCGAGCGCCGGGGCCGAUAAAACGGCAGCACUGACUGCACCCGGAGAAGACCUGGUUCGGCGCUCGAGGACCGGGGUUCGAUUCCCCGCAGCUCCACGC